AUGAAUGAACCGCAUGGAAUUCCAGACAAGCCUUUGUCCCAGGAGGUGACUGGAUCAACUACAAUUACCUUGAUUUGGAAUCCAGUCACUCUUCACCAACUCCAGGGCUCCCCUCUUCUCAUCCUGGAUUGUGCGAGCCUUCUGGUUGGUUCCCCUCCACGAUUCUCCCCCAACCCAAGCCAUACACUAUUCUCACACAGUAGGCAGAUUGAUGUCAAAAAACUAAAUAAAGGGUGGCUUCCUAGAAGUUGAAUUUGAGAUGUUCCUUAUCUGUACCCCACAACACCCUGCACAGCUUCCUUCACGCAUCUCUCCAUCAGUGUCUGUGUGAGUCAUGUCUUCCUUGGUGACCCUGAUGCCUGCAAACCCUGUAGCAGGUUGACAUUCUGGGACUGUUGCUCCUGGUGGUAAGUAUUGUUAAGCUUUUUGCUAUCCACUGCACACUGGGACUCCUCACCUGGAGGUGGUAACA
RNAcentral lists this long non-coding RNA (472 nucleotides) under Papio anubis (olive baboon). Its description in RNAcentral is "lncRNA (ENSPANG00000040891.1)". Lineage: Eukaryota; Metazoa; Chordata; Mammalia; Primates; Cercopithecidae. The record is from RNAcentral.